GGAGGGGUGGUCGAGUGGUUGAUGGCUCCGGUCUUGAAAACCGGCGAGGGUAAAACCUCCGUGGGUUCGAAUCCCACCCCCUCCG
RNAcentral lists this transfer RNA (85 nucleotides) under Paulinella micropora. It matches the Rfam family "tRNA". Rfam says of the family: Transfer RNA (tRNA) molecules are approximately 80 nucleotides in length. Their secondary structure includes four short double-helical elements and three loops (D, anti-codon, and T loops). Further hydrogen bonds mediate the characteristic L-shaped molecular structure. tRNAs have two regions of fundamental functional importance: the anti-codon, which is responsible for specific mRNA codon recognition, and the 3' end, to which the tRNAs corresponding amino acid is attached (by aminoacyl-tRNA synthetases). tRNAs cope with the degeneracy of the genetic code in two manners: having more than one tRNA (with a specific anti-codon) for a particular amino acid; and 'wobble' base-pairing, i.e. permitting non-standard base-pairing at the 3rd anti-codon position. The record is from Rfam by way of RNAcentral. Lineage: Eukaryota; Cercozoa; Imbricatea; Euglyphida; Paulinellidae.